RNAcentral lists this ribosomal RNA (254 nucleotides) under uncultured bacterium. RNAcentral describes it as "partial 16S ribosomal RNA". It matches the Rfam family "Bacterial small subunit ribosomal RNA", at positions 524 to 776 of the family's 1533-position model. The record is from RNAcentral.
CACGUAGGGGGCGAGCGUUGUCCGGAUUUAUUGGGCGUAAAGAGCUCGUAGGCGGUUUCGUUAGUCGGGUGUGAAAACCCCAGGCUCAACCUGGGGACGCCACCCGAUACUGCGAUGACUAGAGUCCGGUAGGGGAGUGUGGAAUUCCUGGUGUAGCGGUGAAAUGCGCAGAUAUCAGGAGGAACACCAACGGCGAAGGCAGCACUCUGGGCCGGAACUGACGCCGAGGAGCGAAAGCGUGGGUAGCGAACAGG